CGAUCUUUCACGAUCACGCCACUUUGCUUCCCCACUUGCAAGCGGCCGACGACGAGUGCGUAGGUAUAUAAAGGUGUACGUGUUCACGAUUCCGGCAUAACACAUAUUUUUGUGCAGAUAUAUUCUUUGUUUUCACUCAACACUCAAAAACCAACCAACAAAUCAAAAAUGGGCGCAGAAAAGGUAUCCAUGAACAUCGUUGUCGUCGGACAAGUCCAAUCUGCCAAAGCAGUCAAGACCGUCGCCAAGGCCGCCCCAGCCACCAGCCAAUUGAUGAACUGUUAAUUCACGUAGUUCAUCCAUCACAAACUCAAAAAUGCCAUAGACCAAACAAUACAAUAUUAUGUAAAUCUUAUUGAUUUGACGCCAUGAAAUAAAACAGCCACAUCCGAUAUUCA
Myzus persicae (green peach aphid) is the source of this 398-nucleotide long non-coding RNA. RefSeq lists it as uncharacterized. The transcript has 3 exons. NCBI's taxonomy places the organism in Eukaryota, Metazoa, Arthropoda, Insecta, Hemiptera, Aphididae. The record is from RefSeq and is a predicted model, not a curated record.